UGUAAAUAAGUAUGUGCUCCCUUCCAGAUGAAUCUAGUUUGUUUUCAUCAGAUCAGAAAAGACCUGAGUAAACACAGAAAGCUGUUUUUAUCCUCAUAUUCAAACCUUUAGAAUAUUUUCACCCGAUGAAAAUUACUUGAGUUACUUUCUUAUAGUAUUAUGAGACAGUAGCUCAUUAUGAGCUACUUUCUAAUUGGACAAUACCUCAUAGUACCAUGAAGCGGUAUUUCAUAUUAUAAUGAGCCACUUUCUCCUGUUUAUUAGAUAUGAUCUCAUUAAUCCUACUAACCAGCCCUUCAUGACUCAGCUGUUUAAAUUUAUUUUCUGGUCCAUCAGCAUGAGGUCUCCAACAUUUGAUGAAAUAAACCAUCAGAACAGAUGAGAAAUCUCACAUUUUCCAACCUGAAACUGUUCUGUUCUUUACUCCAUGAGCCACAAAUUAAAAACGACUCCUUCAACCAGUCAAUCAGCGCCCAUCUGUUAGCAGGUUCGACUGAAGGUCAACGUGUCAGUUUCUGAUGUCCUUUUCUUUUUACCAACAUUUCUGCUUCACUCAGCAACACAUCUCCUUAAAUCUUAACUGCUUGGCCCAUUUAUAGACCUUUGAGAAAAGGGAAUUAUAAAUAAAAUAUUUAAAAUUGCCCUGAUGGACCAACGACAAUAAAAGCAGAGAAAUCUUCGCCUGUAAACAUCCAGGCAGCACAACUAAAACUUAAUACAAGACUUAAAAACUAAAAUAAUUAAGACUCUUUAUGACAGCAAAGUGUUCUCCAACACCUGAGUCAGAUGAAUGCCUUGAUUACAGGCUUCUGCAGAGCUGAUGGUGUGCUGAGGAGGUGAAGAUGAAGGGAUGCAUCUAAAAUCUGCAGGGUGGCAGCUCAAGAAGACUGGACCUCAACAUCCCUACAUGUGGACAGAUCUUCACCAAUUCAUGACAGGAUGAGCCUGAGCACCAAAGCAUUAGACAUACAAUAGCUGGUUUCAACACUUCCCAGUAGCUGCAGAUAAAAUGAAGCGCUGCAGACAUCUACUGUAGGUUUAAUCUGGGAGCCAUGUUGAUCCAUCUGACAGCAGGAGGUUCUGGACUAAAGCUCAGACCAAACCCAACUGUUCACUGGUAACUUCUUACCACUGCAGGACUUUCUCUUCCUCCCCGGCUCUCUUCUGUGGAGGUUUUGAAAUCUGCAGCUGCUCUCAGAUCAGAUUUCAUCAUCAGAACAAGCAGCAGGUUCAGUACAAUAUAGACUUUAUUAGUUCACUAAAGUUUAAUAUGAAAUAAAAAGCAGAUUGGCUUUAAAUCAUUCACAAUUCAGUAAUAAUCGAUAUUCCAGGUUCAUCAUUUAACACAGGAAGUCCAUCCUCCCUACAGCUGCUGCAUCUUUACAAAAUAAGAGCUGGAAACUCCCUCUCAGCGUUGAUUAUCGGGCUGAAAGCGAUGUGAUGCAGUCAGGCUGCACUGAGCGCGCUCACAGCAGCCAACGAACCCAGAACGCACACCAAGCCGUGAACUUACAAAAAAAAACAAAAAAAACAGGAGAAAUCAUGGUUCUUUGUGGUGUUGAGUAAACAGACAGACAGCAGGAGGCGCCAGAGUUCAUUCCUAUCAGAGUCCAGAACGAUUUGAGUCCAGAAGAAGAGCGAAAUCACCAGAACUGCUCGGGGAAUGUUUCAUAUCAUUUUAUUGUUUUUAACUUUAUUUUCUCAUCAUAGUAAUGGAAAAAUAGAACCUUUUACAAACGUCUUCAAUUUCCUGAAAUCUUUGAAACAAGCAAAAACGGUGAGUGACCCGUUCCCAACCCAAGUGCAGCGGGGAAAUCAACGUGAAGCAGCUCACAGCACGCGCUUCCAGACCUUCAGCUAUAACUAUUCCCAUUUGGCACUCGCUCCGCAGCACCGAGCUUUUACUCUGAAGGGCUUCAGUGCUGCUGCUGCCGGAGCGGGCGGAGCCGUUCGGCCGGCGUGUCUCCGUUUUAGUGCUCGGAAGAAGAAAAA
This is a long non-coding RNA of Girardinichthys multiradiatus, 1992 nucleotides long. RefSeq lists it as uncharacterized. The record is from RefSeq and is a predicted model, not a curated record. Lineage: Eukaryota; Metazoa; Chordata; Actinopteri; Cyprinodontiformes; Goodeidae. The transcript has 2 exons.